Emydomyces testavorans is the source of this 109-nucleotide non-coding RNA. Lineage: Eukaryota; Fungi; Ascomycota; Eurotiomycetes; Onygenales; Nannizziopsiaceae. The record is from the annotation of a GenBank genome assembly.
GACACUGUGGCCGAGUGGUCUAAGGCGCGGGCCUGCUAAGUACACAGUAUUGCUGCAGUCUGAUAAGCUCGUAUCUUCGGAUGCGUGGGUUCGAAUCCCAUCGGUGUCG